This 350-nucleotide unclassified non-coding RNA is filed under the name soil metagenome. RNAcentral's name for it is "partial contains 5.8S ribosomal RNA, internal transcribed spacer 2, and large subunit ribosomal RNA". The stretch from base 1 to 120 matches the Rfam family "5.8S ribosomal RNA", at positions 35 to 154 of the family's 154-position model. The record is from RNAcentral.
GAUGAAGAACGCAGCGAAAUGCGAUACGUAAUGUGAAUUGCAGAAUUCAGUGAAUCAUCGAGUCUUUGAACGCACAUUGCGCCCCCUGGCAUUCCGGGGGGCAUGCCUGUCCGAGCGUCAUUGCUGCCCUUCAAGCCCGGCUUGUGUGUUGGGUCGUCGUCCCCCCCGGGGGACGGGCCCGAAAGGCAGCGGCGGCACCGCGUCCGGUCCUCGAGCGUAUGGGGCUUUGUCACCCGCUCGAUUAGGGCCGGCCGGGCGCCAGCCGGCGUCUCCAACCUUCUAUUUUACCAGGUUGACCUCGGAUCAGGUAGGGAUACCCGCUGAACUUAAGCAUAUCAAUAAGCGGAGGA